GUCGCUUUAGAAAGGGGAGCAAUCCCUGAGUAAAGUGGCGCUUUGGUGAGUAAUUGAGAUUGAAUGAUCUACCUCCGAGUGGGGAAUAACUGAGAGAAAUCUUAGCUAAUACCGCAUAACAUUGAGAUUUAGUCAAAGCAGCAAUGCGCUUGGAGAGGAGUUCGUUUUCCGGAUUAGUUAGUUGGCGGGGUAAUGGCCCACCAAGUUUAUGAUCGGUAUCUUUUCCGUGAGAGGGCGCUUUGACACACUGGAACUGAAAUUGAGAUGUCCAGACUCCUUUUGGAGGCAGCAGUGGGGAACUCUGCGCAAUGGGGGAAACCCUGUUUCAGCAUUUCCGCGUGGAGGAUGAAAUCCCUUGGGAUGUAAACUCCCUCCGAUGGGGAAGAUUAUGUUUGUACCCAUAGAAGAAGCCCCGGCUAAUUGAGACGUGCCAGCAGCCGCGGUAAUUUUAGGGGGGCAAGCGUUGUUCGGAAUUAUUGGGCGUAAAGGGUGCGUAGGCGGCUCGACAAGUCUGAUGUGAAAUCUAUGGGCUCAACCCAUAGUCUGCAUCGGAAACUGUCGGGCUUGAGUAUGGGAGAGGUGAGUGGAACUCCCGGUGUAGCGGUGAAAUGCGUAGAUAUCGGAAGGAACACCUGUGGCGAAAGCGGCUCACUGGACCAUUACUGUUUCUGAGGCUUUAAAGCUAGGGGAGCAAACAGGAUUAGAUACCCUGGUAGUCCUAGCCCUAAU
This 729-nucleotide ribosomal RNA is filed under the name uncultured bacterium. Its description in RNAcentral is "bacterial SSU rRNA". It matches the Rfam family "Bacterial small subunit ribosomal RNA", at positions 61 to 806 of the family's 1533-position model. The record is from RNAcentral.